RNAcentral lists this transfer RNA (57 nucleotides) under Alectorobius peropteryx. Its description in RNAcentral is "tRNA-Cys". The record is from RNAcentral. Lineage: Eukaryota; Metazoa; Arthropoda; Arachnida; Ixodida; Argasidae.
AGUUUUAUAGUUUAUUAAAAAUAUUAAAUUGCAAGUUUAAAGAAAAUGUUAAGACUU